Molecule: unclassified non-coding RNA, 300 nt
Filed under: uncultured fungus
Lineage: Eukaryota; Fungi
Description: sequence contains 5.8S rRNA gene
Rfam family: 5.8S ribosomal RNA (bases 1-53)
Source: RNAcentral
GAACGCACCUUGCACUCUUUGGUAUUCCGAAGAGUAUGUCUGUUUGAGUGUCAUGAAACUCUCAACCCCCUUGUUUUGUAAUGAAACGAGUGUGGGCUUGGAUUAUGGCUGCUGCCGGCGUUAUUGUCGACUCGGCUGAAAUAUACGAGCUACCCAUUUCUAAGAAAUAGACGGUUUGACUCGGCGUAAUAACAUAUUUCGCUGAGGACGUCACAUUCUUUAACAUUAGUGGUGCUUCUAAUGCGACAUCUAAACCUAAGCUUUAGACCUCAAAUCGAGUAGGACUACCCGCUGAACUUA